This 450-nucleotide ribosomal RNA is filed under the name uncultured bacterium. Its description in RNAcentral is "bacterial SSU rRNA". It matches the Rfam family "Bacterial small subunit ribosomal RNA", at positions 354 to 796 of the family's 1533-position model. The record is from RNAcentral.
GUGGGGAAUAUUGGACAAUGGGCGAAAGCCUGAUCCAGCCAUGCCGCGUGUGUGAAGAAGGUCUUCGGAUUGUAAAGCACUUUAAGUUGGGAGGAAGGGCAGUAAGUUAAUACCUUGCUGUUUUGACGUUACCGACAGAAUAAGCACCGGCUAACUUCGUGCCAGCAGCCGCGGUAAUACGAAGGGUGCAAGCGUUAAUCGGAAUUACUGGGCGUAAAGCGCGCGUAGGUGGUUUUGUAAGUUGGAGGUGAAAUCCCCGGGCUCAACCUGGGAACUGCCUCCAAAACUGCAGGACUAGAGUAUGGUAGAGGGUAGUGGAAUUUCCUGUGUAGCGGUGAAAUGCGUAGAUAUAGGAAGGAACACCAGUGGCGAAGGCGACUACCUGGACUGAUACUGACACUGAGGUGCGAAAGCGUGGGGAGCAAACAGGAUUAGAUACCCGGGUAGUCC